This 492-nucleotide ribosomal RNA is filed under the name uncultured bacterium. RNAcentral describes it as "partial 16S ribosomal RNA". It matches the Rfam family "Bacterial small subunit ribosomal RNA", at positions 29 to 507 of the family's 1533-position model. The record is from RNAcentral.
AGUGAACGCUGGCGGUAGGCCUAACACAUGCAAGUCGAACGGCAGCACAGUAAGAGCUUGCUCUUACGGGUGGCGAGUGGCGGACGGGUGAGGAAUACAUCGGAAUCUACUUUUUCGUGGGGGAUAACGUAGGGAAACUUACGCUAAUACCGCAUACGACCUACGGGUGAAAGCAGGGGAUCUUCGGACCUUGCGCGAUUGAAUGAGCCGAUGUCGGAUUAGCUAGUUGGCGGGGUAAAGGCCCACCAAGGCCACGAUCCGUAGCUGGCCUGAGAGGAUGGUCAGACACCCUGGAACUGAGACACGGUCCAGACUCCUACGGGAGGCAGCAGUGGGGAAUAUUGGACGAUGGGCGAGAGCCUGAUCCAGCCAUACCGCGUGGGUGAAGAAGGCCUUCGGGUUGUAAAGCCCUUUUGUUGGGAAAGAAAAGCAGCAGGUUAAUACCCCGCUGUUCUGACGGUACCCAAAGAAUAAGCACCGGCUAACUUCGUG